GACGAACGCUGGCGGCGUGCUUAACACAUGCAAGUCGAGCGGUAAGGCCCUUUCGGGGGUACACGAGCGGCGAACGGGUGAGUAACACGUGGGCGACCUGCCCUCAGCUCUGGGAUAAGCCUGGGAAACUGGGUCUAAUACCGGAUACGACUUUUCCUCGCAUGGGGGAUUGUGGAAAGUCCUGGGCUUUUGUCUGGGUUCGGCUGGGGAUGGGCCCGCGGCCUAUCAGCUUGUUGGUGGGGUGAUGGCCUACCAAGGCGACGACGGGUAGCCGGCC
This 277-nucleotide ribosomal RNA is filed under the name uncultured bacterium. Its description in RNAcentral is "partial 16S ribosomal RNA". It matches the Rfam family "Bacterial small subunit ribosomal RNA", at positions 28 to 292 of the family's 1533-position model. The record is from RNAcentral.